GAGCGGGUGGAGGAAGAUAGGGGGGCUCUAGGGAGAAUGGGGUUUGUUUAUCCAGGAACCAGCCUGUAACUCCUGGGGAGAGGGGAGCGGAGAGGGGGCAAAUGCGGGAGAAAGGGAGAAAGCGAGGCAACUCGGGGCUCAAAACAGUCCAAUUCAAAUUAAAAGGUCAAGACACGAUUCAGGUUCGUCAGGUUUGGCCUGGGAACUCAGUGUGGGGACCUUCAGUCACAGAAGCUGAUUGAGUUGCAAGCUCCCAGUGGAAUCUCUUCUGUCUGGGGUGGGCCAGGAAACGGAAUCUGGAGAACAACUUGUCUUUCCGGUCGCCCCGCAUUUUCCCUUGGAUAAAGCCGCCUCGGGUUUCGACUUUCGGAAGGGCUGGAGCGUGGCUGGGAAAAGGACCGGAGCUCCAGGCGCCCUGGCGUGGAGUGAGGAGGCUGGAUCGCUUCUAGGGAGGCCCAAGCCCCCGCUGCUAGAACGUGACUUCGGAAAGAAAUCCGCCGAAUUCUCUCAUCCAGGGGGUGAGAGAGAAGGCACAGGGGUCCCUGAAUUUCGGGAAAACUGGAAGAAAAUUUGUAAUGUGUGACUUGCUUGCAGGGCCAGCCAGAGGAGAUCUGAAAUGGUUUUGUGCUUUCAUUUGCAGGGUUAGCGGUAGGCUCAGCACAGGUUUGGCCUGGGCAAGGUUAGGCUGUUUAGGCCCCAGACAAGACUUGGGACAGCCUCGGCAGCCGUCAAUCCAGGGAGCCAUUUGUCCCACCGCCCACCCCGCGGGAAAUGGCAGAGACUUUAUGACCACUCUGUUUGUAUUAUCUGCAUAAGUCUUUCCCCACCAGUUUGAUCGAAACUGUUCGCUUUUACGAGGACCCAACGAAAAUUCCCCGUCAUAUUUAUCAGCCGGGGAUAAAAAUUUAGUAUGGGAACUGAUAUUUCCUCAUUUAUGGGGCGAUGAAAUUAAAGACCAAAGCAAUUGAGAAUUAUAUGGCUUUGGGGGGUUCCCUCCCCCCUCUUUCACAUCUCCUUUAUUUUCCUUCCUGGUGUGCCUGUUCCUGGAGUUUGGAAUCCCAGUCCCCUGCCCUUGCCCUCAUUUUGGGGUUUGCUGGGCCCUCUCCCCACACCCAAAUACUGCUUGGCCACGUCAGCUUUUCCUGCUUUUUCUUUGAAUAAAAACCUGCAAUCCUGGAGCCUCUGCCCUGGCCUGGCCGUGGAAGGUUGCAAAGAGCCUUGAACGGGAAGAGUGUGAGCCCAGCCUGGGACGGAGUGUGGGAGGCAGUGGGAGGAGAGUGCUGGAGACGAACUCCAGAUUACCUCUCAAAAAACAGCAAGCCCCAAAGUUUAACUCAGGGAACCGGCGGAAGAGGAACAGAGUCACUCGGCCUCCGGACCUAUCUCCCCCUAAGCCCUACCCCAGUCCCAAACUCACUCCUUACCUCUGCCACGGGAGGGGAUGGAGUCACUUCAGAAUCCUUGCCAUUAUUAAUGGAACAAUUCCCUCCGGGGAGAAGAAGCCUCCCGCCUCUAUUCCCACCUCCUCACAAGAACAAAUAGUGUUUAAAGUUGAAAUAAUUAGAAGUAUGAUAAACACGGCCCAUUAAUGAAAAAAGAAAUCAAAUUCAUCAGCCUAAGUGGGACCCCCGGUGGGACAAAUGUUUGCCUCUAAUUACGCAGGAUAAACGCAAACCCGGAGCUGUUAAACAGGACCCGGUGGACGCAGACUUAAAUAACUUGUUAGGUUUUUGCAGACUUUGGGAUUCUACCCCAGUGGAGGCAGAAGGAAGGAAGGCUUGAGGGUGAGGAAGUGGCAAGGGGAGCACUGGUGCGGGCUGAGAAAAAUACAGACGGAUGUGGGUCCCAGCCCUGCCCCCUUGGGCUCGGUCUUUCCAGAGGCCACGAGCAAAGGCUGUUUCAGUCCUAUUGUCCGGGCCUGGCGUUCAAAGGCACUCGGGCUGCCACGGCCAUCCGCCUGCCGCCGCUGAACUCCUGGAGAACUGGAUGGGGGUCCAGGAGAAGUCUGUGUUGUUAGAAUCACCCUGUUAAGCUGUUUCCCCAACUUUCUGGGAGUGCCGAGAGACCUGCACCUAAGCCUGACUCCGGGGCUCCACCUUCUCGCCGCAACUUGGUGAUAUGAAAAUCCAGAGGCUGCAAACCAGAGUCGGCUCAGGCUGCACCUCCGCCUCAACCAACCGCAGCUACCCCAAGAACCCUGACCCCUUAUGCCCUUCCUCUCAUACCCAGACCCUGGAAGGGCAACAGGGAUAGGGGCUGGGCCUCCUGCCAUUUGUGGGACUGUGAUCGAGGAAGAGGAGCGGGUUCCAGAGGGCAGUCCUAGGGCUGAGGCACAAGGGGUUCCCCACGUGAAAACCUAAGGAAAAAGCAGUACUCAACCAGCAGAAAGGAACCUCGGUGGUUUUCCCAGCUCUCGACUUCAAUGCACCCCAGAAAUACCCUGAUUUCUCCAAGGAAAAUUAGCAGAGUUUCCGCAAGAGGGUAAAGAACUCAUCUGAGAAAUUCCAAGGGUGAAGUGAAAAAAAGAAGCGUCUCUCCCUUUGGGGUAAAGUAAUAAAAUAAAAUAAUAAAGUGUGUAUGUUGAAAUCUCUUCAAGUGAAAUGGAAAACAAAA
Long non-coding RNA from Manis javanica (Malayan pangolin), 2613 nucleotides. RefSeq lists it as uncharacterized. NCBI's taxonomy places the organism in Eukaryota, Metazoa, Chordata, Mammalia, Pholidota, Manidae. The record is from RefSeq and is a predicted model, not a curated record.